This is a long non-coding RNA of Monodelphis domestica (gray short-tailed opossum), 1776 nucleotides long. The record is from Ensembl. NCBI's taxonomy places the organism in Eukaryota, Metazoa, Chordata, Mammalia, Didelphimorphia, Didelphidae.
CCCCCCCCUUACAACGCCCUCCACCGGCGCCCUCCCGAUAAGGUCCGCAGGCAUCCAGACUCCCCUCGGAAGGCUCCGUCUGCCAUCCUUUCGAUGUUCCCUCCCCGCACUAGGAUCCCUUUCCGCACGCGGGGCCCGCUUUCCUCCACGUCUCCCCACGGAACACACUAGGGGUCCCCUUCCUUUUGUCCGCCCGGCAGAGCCCCCCCCUUCAGGGGGUCCUGCAAACAACACCCCACAUCCAUUUAGAGCCCUCAACCUUCUUGGGAGUCCCCAGACCCGCCCAGGGUCCCCUUUAGGGAGCAGAAGAUUUACACAACCUGGGUCUCUUUCUCGGGGGAACCCCCUCCCCCCGACAAAUCCUGAUAUCCCUCCCCAUCAGGGAGUCAUUCCCCCAACCCCCAGCGUCCCCUUCCCAGGAGGGCCCCCUGCCCUCCGGUCAUUUCUACGCGCGCGCGCACCCGCGUCCCCUUUCCUCGACGCGCCCGCGCCCCCUUUCCUCGCCACCCCCGCCUCUGCUCUCCACUGCCCCUCGAGCCCCUCUCCUUCCGCCCAGACAGAGACGACCCCCGCCCAAGCCCCCAUCCUCACUGGGCCCAUCCAGCACCCUCCCGCAUGCCGGCGCUCCUGGCCCAACCAGUGCGGCAGCGGCAGCAGCGAAGAGCAUCAAGGCUGGCUGGAGGUGCCCGCACCCCCUCACCUUGAGGCGCAGAUGAUGGCGACCGCAAAUGCCCAGCAGCGACCACAGAUCCGGCUCCUCAGACGAAAACCCACCGCUGCCUCCGCCGGGCUCCUUUAGCACUGCUGCGCCGCGCCGCCCCACCCACGCCCACCCUCAUUGGGCCAGCCCCACGCCCAUCAGCGCGGGUCCGUUGAAGCGCCCAACUCGGAGGCUAGACGUUAGCAACCCAGAAAAGCGAUCCUUCCCCCAGCCCACCUCCCCCGCCCCCUUACCCAUCACAAAUAAUAUUCAUUGGCUCGCGUUCAACGCCCUAGCAACUGGCGCCCGCACCUCACGGGCUUGCCGUGAUGUCAGUCACUCGCCCCUAAGAGGGGAGGCCGGUGCAGAAGCUGCAGAUGAGCUCAACCCUGCAGGCGCUGUGCUGCCAAGAUGUGCUUCGGGCUUAGGAGGUGCGCUGCUGCACGGAGCCACGGGGCGCCGUCCCCGCCGUGGCUCGGGAAGCGGAGGCUGCGGCGAUGCCCUGCGUGCUGCUGACUCUGGGAUUCAGGCAUGCAGCCGGCCGCGUUUCCUCCCAUCUGAGACGACCAAUCAAUCCCUGCCAGCAGCUGGAGUUAGGGGAGGCUCAGACUGCAGCCCCCUCUCUUGUCCUUUCCCGCUCCCUCCACAUUGUUGCCCAGCUUCCGCUCCUCCCUCCCCAGCCCCCACCCCGGGCUGUAGCCAGCGAAUUCCAGCCUUGCCCCAGCUAGAGUUCGGGAGCUCCUGGCACUUUUACUUAGGUGUCCCCCAGUUCUUUCUGGGGAAGCUUCCCACAUUAAUGGGGCUUUGGGUUGUACGACCUUGCUCCCUGGGCUUACGGGCGGAAUGGGGCGGGGCCCCGCUGCAGCUCCGCAGCUCACCUGCAGUGAAGGAAGGGCACGUCCUUCUCUUCCAGUCUUGCCUUUCCCCAGUUUACAAAAAGGAGCCGCCCAAAAUGGGAAUGUCUCUUCUAAUGGGGUAUCCCAGAUAAAAACAUGAGACAGAAAGGGGGGGAAAUCUGGUCCCAGAGAUACAAAUAAUCAUAAUGCACAAUAAAGAUAAAUUCCAGGAUUGCUGCA